UACAGAGGGGGCAAGCGUUGUUCGGAAUUACUGGGCGUAAAGGGCGCGUAGGCGGCCCGCUAAGUCGAACGUGAAAUCCCCAGGCUUAACCUGGGAACUGCGUCCGAUACUGGCAGGCUUGAAUCCGGGAGAGGGAUGUGGAAUUCCAGGUGUAGCGGUGAAAUGCGUAGAUAUCUGGAGGAACACCGGUGGCGAAGGCGGCAUCCUGGACCGAGAUUGACGCUGAGGCGCGAAAGCCAGGGGAGCAAACGGG
RNAcentral lists this ribosomal RNA (253 nucleotides) under uncultured bacterium. RNAcentral describes it as "partial 16S ribosomal RNA". It matches the Rfam family "Bacterial small subunit ribosomal RNA", at positions 524 to 776 of the family's 1533-position model. The record is from RNAcentral.